GAUCAUGACUCAGGACGAACGCUGGCGGCGCGCCUAACACAUGCAAGUCGAACGAUCGAGAGAGAGCUUGCUUUCUCGAGCGAGUGGCUAACGGGUGAGUAACGCGUGAGGAACCGUGCCUCAAAGAGGGGGACGAACAGUUGGAACGACUGCUAAUACCGCAUAAGCCCACCGACCCGGCCAUCGGGUAGGAGGGAAAAGGAGCAUCGCUUUGAGAUGGCCUCGCGUCCGAUUAG
This 236-nucleotide ribosomal RNA is filed under the name uncultured bacterium. RNAcentral's name for it is "partial 16S ribosomal RNA". It matches the Rfam family "Bacterial small subunit ribosomal RNA", at positions 15 to 244 of the family's 1533-position model. The record is from RNAcentral.